RNAcentral lists this ribosomal RNA (104 nucleotides) under Vibrio alginolyticus. RNAcentral's name for it is "partial 23S ribosomal RNA". The stretch from base 1 to 86 matches the Rfam family "Bacterial large subunit ribosomal RNA", at positions 2840 to 2925 of the family's 2925-position model. The record is from RNAcentral. Lineage: Bacteria; Pseudomonadati; Pseudomonadota; Gammaproteobacteria; Vibrionales; Vibrionaceae.
GUAGACUACGACGUUGAUAGGCAGGGUGUGUAAGCGUUGUGAGGCGUUGAGCUAACCUGUACUAAUUGCCCGUGAGGCUUAACCAUACAACACCCAAGGGGUUU